GGAUUCCCCUAGUAACUGCGAGUGAAGCGGGAAGAGCUCAAAUUUGAAAUCUGGCAGUUCUUUGACUGUCCGAGUUGUAAUCUAGAGAAGUGCUGCCUGUGCUGGACCAUGUACAAGUCUUCUGGAAUGGAGCAUCACAGAGGGUGAGAAUCCCGUCUUUGACAUGGACUACCUGUACAUUAUGGUGUGCUCUCAAAGAGUCGAGUUGUUUGGGAAUGCAGCUCAAAAUGGGUGGUAAAUGCCAUCUAAAGCUAAAUAUUGGCGAGAGACCGAUAGCGAACAAGUACCGUGAGGGAAAGAUGAAAAGAACUUUGGAAAGAGAGUUAAACAGUACGUGAAAUUGCUGAAAGGGAAACGCUUGAAGUCAGUCGCGUUGGCUAGAAAUCAGCCUUGCUUUUGCUUGGUGUACUUUCUGGUUGACGGGUCAGCAUCAAUUUUGACCAUUGGAUAAAGUCUUUGGGAAUGUGGCAUCUUUGGAUGUGUUAUAGCCCAUUGUCACAUACGAUGGUUGGGAUUGAGGAACUCAGCACGCCGCAAGGCCGGGUUUCGACCACGUUCGUGCUUAGGAUGCUGGCAUAAUGGCUUUAAUCGACCCGUCUUGAAACACGGACCAAGGAGUCUAACAUGCCUGCGAGUGUUUGGGUGGAAAACCCAUGCGCGUAAUGAAAGUGAAAGUUGAGAUCCCUCUAAUAAAGGGAGCAUUGACGCCCGGACCAGACCUUUUGUGACGGAUCCGCGGUAGAGCAUGUAUGUUGGGACCCGAAAGAUGGUGAACUAUGCCUGAAUAGGGUGAAGCCAGAGGAAACUCUGGUGGAGGCUCGUAGCGAUUCUGACGUGCAAAUCGAUCGUCAAAUUUGGGUAUAGGGGCGAAAGACUAAUCGAACCAUCUAGUAGCUGGUUCCUGC
This 905-nucleotide ribosomal RNA is filed under the name Inocybe leptospermi. RNAcentral's name for it is "eukaryotic LSU rRNA". It matches the Rfam family "Eukaryotic large subunit ribosomal RNA", at positions 72 to 961 of the family's 3401-position model. The record is from RNAcentral. Lineage: Eukaryota; Fungi; Basidiomycota; Agaricomycetes; Agaricales; Inocybaceae.